CAAUAGCGUAUAUUUAAGUUGUUGCAGUUAAAAAGCUCGUAGUUGGAUUUCGGAUGGGACUUGCCGGUCCGUCGUUUCGAUGUGCACUGGCCAGUCCUAUCUUGUUGUUGGGGACUAGCUCCUGGGCUUCACUGUCCGGGACUAGGAGCUGACGAGGUUACUUUGAGUAAAUUAGAGUGUUCAAAGCAAGCCUACGCUCUGAAUACAUUAGCAUGGAAUAACACGAUAGGACUCUGGCUUAUCUUGUUGGUCUGUGAGACCAGAGUAAUGAUUAAGAGGGACAGUCGGGGGCAUUCGUAUUUCAUUGUCAGAGGUGAAAUUCUUGGAUUUAUGAAAGACGAACUUCUGCGAAAGCAUUUGUCAAGGAUGUUUNCAUUAG
RNAcentral lists this ribosomal RNA (379 nucleotides) under uncultured eukaryote. RNAcentral's name for it is "partial 18S ribosomal RNA". It matches the Rfam family "Eukaryotic small subunit ribosomal RNA", at positions 592 to 976 of the family's 1831-position model. The record is from RNAcentral.